RNAcentral lists this long non-coding RNA (1804 nucleotides) under Brachypodium distachyon (stiff brome). RNAcentral's name for it is "long non-coding RNA (BDIS_LNC004647)". Lineage: Eukaryota; Viridiplantae; Streptophyta; Magnoliopsida; Poales; Poaceae. The record is from RNAcentral.
UAUAUACCCCAUGAUCCUCCCUAAGGAGCUUUGGGUUUUGAUUAGUUAAAAGUUAGCCCUCGCUACUACUUCGUGUAAUCUCGUGUGUCGGUUAGACCACCUGUUUACUGCUUUCGGAACCCCAACUUAUCGUCUCGUUGAAACAUUGGUUUGAUAUAGUAUAUUCGCAAUUUCAGAUUGCAUCCGCUAUUUAUCUUGUUCUUCGAUUGCUUGAAGGAACAAAGACCUUCGUGGUCAGGUUGAUCGUGCCCCCGUGUGAUCAAUAACCCUCUGGAGUUGGUGUAUCGAUUGCUAAGGCGCUGCCUCCUAGGCCGUAGUCGGAUCGUCACGUCACCUCCUACCCAAAUCGAGAGUUAAAAUCUCAUCAAAAGAUCGGGCCAGCCCCACCCAUAUCACGUGGUAUCAGAGCUUAAGGUUAAUCGGUGAGAUUUUUCCAGUUUUUCCAUUGUAUAGAUCUGUUUUACCUAUAGUCCAGAAAAAGCCAAUAAAAAAAGUAGAGAUUAGUUUUCUUUGUCCUAAAACCAAUCCGAGCCUUGCAAUUUUCACAUUAGUAUUUACAUUGUUGAAUCUUUGGUGCAUUAAUCGUGUCGAGUUGUUGGAUUAGAUUGGAUCGUUUUUCAGAUUUUUUCUACUAAAUCGAACUUUCUUUUGGUUUUCUUGUUCUUCGUGUGACGCAGGUUUGCUUUAUCAAUCUUCCGUCGCCAAACUCCCGGCCACACCACCCCCACGCCAUAAUCUUCCGCUACCACCAUAUCUUCCAUCGAGUCCUACACCGAGUUCUUCUCCGAGUUCGAGUCCAAGUCCAAUCGAGAGUGCUUUUGGAAAGUGUUUCAUAAUAAAUCGAAUUUUGUUUAGAGAUCAAGUUGUUUGGAAAGUUGUGAAAAAAGAAAGGAAAGAAAAAAAAAGAGAGAAAGAAUCCGUUUAGGAUCCACGUUGAGAGAAUUUUAGUUUCGGGUGGGUUUGACCCGUGUUCAGUAACACGGACGUAUCUUUUUCAUACCAACUCGGAUUUGGACGGUUUUGGACUUUUUGGAAAGCCCACGACGAGGCGCAUGAGGAAACAUUCAAGGCGUUGGCCUGCACUUUGACCCUCAAAUUCGGCUUCUAAGGUGGUCUUUCGAAGCUUCCAAGUUUCUGCAUCCGUUUUCAGGCGUCGUUGCAGCCUGGUGUUUUGCAGUUUUCUCCACCGUCCGACAUCUGUUUUGAGUGAUCUUGCCCUUGAUGGAAAGCUUUUGUCGAUACGCUUCUAACCCAUAUUUUUUCAUAUUUUUCUGAAUUUUCCUUACUGCAGCCUCUGCUGUGCUUCGAUAGACCGACGUACAGUUUUUCGGUCCUUCUUUUGCGUGAGUUUCUGGGGUUAAAAAAAAGAAAAAAGAAGAAGAAGACAGAAAGAAGGCCACAAAAAGAAAAAAAAAGAAAAAGAAAAUCCCAGGGAUUUACUUGUUGUGCCAUCUUUUGAUCUAUCUAUUCCUACCUUCUUCAGUAUAUAGGCUUCGAUUAUUUCUGUAAUUCGUUCUUAUCGACUCCAGCAGCUAGGACUAGCAUUAUUGAGUUGUCCGUGACGGACAAAACAAGCUGACGGAUCUGUUUUUCUGUUUCCUAAAGAGUUGUUGUUUUGUUAGGAAACUUAGAGAUAGAGUUGCAUUUUGUCCCCAUGCCCAAGUUGGUCGAAAAUCCAUCUUUCUCCUCCUUUAUAUACCCCAUGAGCCCCCCUAUGGAGAUUUGGGUUUUGAUUAGUUAAAAGUUAGCUAUCGCUACUACUUCGUGUAAUCGCGUGUGUCGGUUAGACCACCUGUUUUACUGC